This 460-nucleotide ribosomal RNA is filed under the name uncultured bacterium. RNAcentral's name for it is "partial 16S ribosomal RNA". It matches the Rfam family "Bacterial small subunit ribosomal RNA", at positions 338 to 795 of the family's 1533-position model. The record is from RNAcentral.
CCUACGGGUGGCAGCAGUGAGGAAUAUUGGACAAUGGGCGAAAGCCUGAACCAGCCAAGUCGCGUGAAGGAUGAAGGAUCUAUGUUUUGUAAACUUCUUUUAUAUGGAAAUAAAGUGAGGAACGUGUUCAUUAUUCUAUGUACAAUUUGAAUAAGCAUCGGCUAACUCCGUGCCAGCAGCCGCGGUAAUACGGAGGAUGCGAGCGUUAUCCGGAUUUAUUGGGUUUAAAGGGUGCGUAGGUGGUUAAUUAAGUCAGCGGUGAAAGUUUGGGGCUCAACCAUAAAAUUGCCGUUGAAACUGGGUGACUGGAGUAUAGUUGAGGUAGGCGGAAUGCGUGGUGGAGCGGUGAAAUGCAUAGAUAUCACGCAGAACUCCGAUGGCGAAGGCAGCUUACUAAACUAUAACUGACACUGAAGCACGAAAGCGUGGGGAUCAAACAGGAUUAGAUACCCGUGUAGUC